This 497-nucleotide ribosomal RNA is filed under the name uncultured bacterium. Its description in RNAcentral is "partial 16S ribosomal RNA". It matches the Rfam family "Bacterial small subunit ribosomal RNA", at positions 28 to 507 of the family's 1533-position model. The record is from RNAcentral.
GAUGAACGCUGGCGGCGUGCCUAAUACAUGCAAGUCGAGCGAACGGACGCGAAGCUUGCUUCUCUGAUGUUAGCGGCGGACGGGUGAGUAACACGUGGAUAACCUACCUAUAAUACUGGGAUAACUUCGGGAAACCGGAGCUAAUACCGGAUAAUAUUUUGAACCGCAUGGUUCAAAAGUGAAAGACGGUCUUGCUGUCACUUAUAGAUGGAUCCGCGCUGCAUUAGCUAGUUGGUAAGUUAACGGCUUACCAAGGCAACGAUGCAUAGCCGAACUGUGAGGCGGAUAGGCCGCACUGGAAGUGAGCCGCGGACCAGAGGCCUGCGGGAGGCAGCAGACGGGAAUCGGACGCAAUGGGCGAAAGCCUGACAGAGCAACGCCGCGUGAGUGAUGAAGGUCUUCGGAUCGUAAAACUCUGUUAUGAGGGAAGAACAUAUGUGGAAGUAGAUGAGCACAGCGUGACGGUACCUAAUCAGAAAGCAACGGCUAACUACGUG